This 494-nucleotide ribosomal RNA is filed under the name uncultured bacterium. Its description in RNAcentral is "partial 16S ribosomal RNA". It matches the Rfam family "Bacterial small subunit ribosomal RNA", at positions 28 to 507 of the family's 1533-position model. The record is from RNAcentral.
GACGAACGCUGGCGGCGUGCUUAACACAUGCAAGUCGAACGGUGAAGCGCCUUCCUUUUUGGUGGGUGUGGAUGAGUGGCGAACGGGUGAGUAACACGUGAGUAACCUGCCCCCUUCUUCUGGAUAACCGCAUGAAAGUGUGGCUAAUACGGGAUAUUCUGGGUCUGUCGCAUGAUGGGUCUGGGAAAGAUAUUGUUUCGGUGGGGGAUGGGCUCGCGGCCUAUCAGCUUGUUGGUGGGGUGAUGGCCUACCAAGGCGGUGACGGGUAGCCGGCCUGAGAGGGUGGACGGUCACACUGGGACUGAGACACGGCCCAGACUCCUACGGGAGGCAGCAGCGGGGAGUAUUGCACAAUGGGCGCAAGCCUGAUGCAGCGACGCCGCGUGAGGGAUGGAGGCCUUCGGGUUGUGAACCUCUUUCGCCAGUGAAGCAGGCCUGCCUCGUUUGUGGGUGGGUUGACGGUAGCUGGAUAAGAAGCGCCGGCUAACUACGUG